This 2925-nucleotide ribosomal RNA is filed under the name Escherichia coli. RNAcentral describes it as "23S ribosomal RNA". It matches the Rfam family "Bacterial large subunit ribosomal RNA". The record is from RNAcentral. Lineage: Bacteria; Pseudomonadati; Pseudomonadota; Gammaproteobacteria; Enterobacterales; Enterobacteriaceae.
GGGUUGUGAGGUUAAGCGACUAAGCGUACACGGUGGAUGCCCUGGCAGUCAGAGGCGAUGAAGGACGUGCUAAUCUGCGAUAAGCGUCGGUAAGGUGAUAUGAACCGUUAUAACCGGCGAUUUCCGAAUGGGGAAACCCAGUGUGUUUCGACACACUAUCAUUAACUGAAUCCAUAGGUUAAUGAGGCGAACCGGGGGAACUGAAACAUCUAAGUACCCCGAGGAAAAGAAAUCAACCGAGAUUCCCCCAGUAGCGGCGAGCGAACGGGGAGGAGCCCAGAGCCUGAAUCAGUGUGUGUGUUAGUGGAAGCGUCUGGAAAGGCGCGCGAUACAGGGUGACAGCCCCGUACACAAAAAUGCACAUACUGUGAGCUCGAUGAGUAGGGCGGGACACGUGGUAUCCUGUCUGAAUAUGGGGGGACCAUCCUCCAAGGCUAAAUACUCCUGACUGACCGAUAGUGAACCAGUACCGUGAGGGAAAGGCGAAAAGAACCCCGGCGAGGGGAGUGAAAAAGAACCUGAAACCGUGUACGUACAAGCAGUGGGAGCCUCUUUUAUGGGGUGACUGCGUACCUUUUGUAUAAUGGGUCAGCGACUUAUAUUCUGUAGCAAGGUUAACCGAAUAGGGGAGCCGAAGGGAAACCGAGUCUUAACUGGGCGUUAAGUUGCAGGGUAUAGACCCGAAACCCGGUGAUCUAGCCAUGGGCAGGUUGAAGGUUGGGUAACACUAACUGGAGGACCGAACCGACUAAUGUUGAAAAAUUAGCGGAUGACUUGUGGCUGGGGGUGAAAGGCCAAUCAAACCGGGAGAUAGCUGGUUCUCCCCGAAAGCUAUUUAGGUAGCGCCUCGUGAAUUCAUCUCCGGGGGUAGAGCACUGUUUCGGCAAGGGGGUCAUCCCGACUUACCAACCCGAUGCAAACUGCGAAUACCGGAGAAUGUUAUCACGGGAGACACACGGCGGGUGCUAACGUCCGUCGUGAAGAGGGAAACAACCCAGACCGCCAGCUAAGGUCCCAAAGUCAUGGUUAAGUGGGAAACGAUGUGGGAAGGCCCAGACAGCCAGGAUGUUGGCUUAGAAGCAGCCAUCAUUUAAAGAAAGCGUAAUAGCUCACUGGUCGAGUCGGCCUGCGCGGAAGAUGUAACGGGGCUAAACCAUGCACCGAAGCUGCGGCAGCGACGCUUAUGCGUUGUUGGGUAGGGGAGCGUUCUGUAAGCCUGUGAAGGUGUGCUGUGAGGCAUGCUGGAGGUAUCAGAAGUGCGAAUGCUGACAUAAGUAACGAUAAAGCGGGUGAAAAGCCCGCUCGCCGGAAGACCAAGGGUUCCUGUCCAACGUUAAUCGGGGCAGGGUGAGUCGACCCCUAAGGCGAGGCCGAAAGGCGUAGUCGAUGGGAAACAGGUUAAUAUUCCUGUACUUGGUGUUACUGCGAAGGGGGGACGGAGAAGGCUAUGUUGGCCGGGCGACGGUUGUCCCGGUUUAAGCGUGUAGGCUGGUUUUCCAGGCAAAUCCGGAAAAUCAAGGCUGAGGCGUGAUGACGAGGCACUACGGUGCUGAAGCAACAAAUGCCCUGCUUCCAGGAAAAGCCUCUAAGCAUCAGGUAACAUCAAAUCGUACCCCAAACCGACACAGGUGGUCAGGUAGAGAAUACCAAGGCGCUUGAGAGAACUCGGGUGAAGGAACUAGGCAAAAUGGUGCCGUAACUUCGGGAGAAGGCACGCUGAUAUGUAGGUGAAGUCCCUCGCGGAUGGAGCUGAAAUCAGUCGAAGAUACCAGCUGGCUGCAACUGUUUAUUAAAAACACAGCACUGUGCAAACACGAAAGUGGACGUAUACGGUGUGACGCCUGCCCGGUGCCGGAAGGUUAAUUGAUGGGGUCAGCGCAAGCGAAGCUCUUGAUCGAAGCCCCGGUAAACGGCGGCCGUAACUAUAACGGUCCUAAGGUAGCGAAAUUCCUUGUCGGGUAAGUUCCGACCUGCACGAAUGGCGUAAUGAUGGCCAGGCUGUCUCCACCCGAGACUCAGUGAAAUUGAACUCGCUGUGAAGAUGCAGUGUACCCGCGGCAAGACGGAAAGACCCCGUGAACCUUUACUAUAGCUUGACACUGAACAUUGAGCCUUGAUGUGUAGGAUAGGUGGGAGGCUUAGAAGUGUGGACGCCAGUCUGCAUGGAGCCGACCUUGAAAUACCACCCUUUAAUGUUUGAUGUUCUAACGUUGACCCGUGAUCCGGGUUGCGGACAGUGUCUGGUGGGUAGUUUGACUGGGGCGGUCUCCUCCUAAAGAGUAACGGAGGAGCACGAAGGUUGGCUAAUCCUGGUCGGACAUCAGGAGGUUAGUGCAAUGGCAUAAGCCAGCUUGACUGCGAGCGUGACGGCGCGAGCAGGUGCGAAAGCAGGUCAUAGUGAUCCGGUGGUUCUGAAUGGAAGGGCCAUCGCUCAACGGAUAAAAGGUACUCCGGGGAUAACAGGCUGAUACCGCCCAAGAGUUCAUAUCGACGGCGGUGUUUGGCACCUCGAUGUCGGCUCAUCACAUCCUGGGGCUGAAGUAGGUCCCAAGGGUAUGGCUGUUCGCCAUUUAAAGUGGUACGCGAGCUGGGUUUAGAACGUCGUGAGACAGUUCGGUCCCUAUCUGCCGUGGGCGCUGGAGAACUGAGGGGGGCUGCUCCUAGUACGAGAGGACCGGAGUGGACGCAUCACUGGUGUUCGGGUUGUCAUGCCAAUGGCACUGCCCGGUAGCUAAAUGCGGAAGAGAUAAGUGCUGAAAGCAUCUAAGCACGAAACUUGCCCCGAGAUGAGUUCUCCCUGACCCUUUAAGGGUCCUGAAGGAACGUUGAAGACGACGACGUUGAUAGGCCGGGUGUGUAAGCGCAGCGAUGCGUUGAGCUAACCGGUACUAAUGAACCGUGAGGCUUAACCUUACAACGCCGAAG